AAAUCCCUACGGGGCGCAGCAGUAGGGAAUUUUCGUCAAUGGGCGCAAGCCUGAACGAGCAAUGCCGCGUGAACGAGGAAGGUCUUCGGAUCGUAAAGUUCUGUUGAAGGGGAAAAAGAGCGGAGAGAGGAAAUGAACUCCGAUUGAUAUUACCCUUCGAGGAAGUCACGGCUAACUACGUGCCAGCAGCCGCGGUAAUACGUAGGUGGCGAGCGUUAUCCGGAAUGAUUGGGCGUAAAGGGUGCGUAGGCGGCCUGCUAAGUCUGGAGUGAAAGGUACGGGCUCAACCGUUACAGGCUCUGGAA
RNAcentral lists this ribosomal RNA (305 nucleotides) under uncultured bacterium. RNAcentral describes it as "bacterial SSU rRNA". It matches the Rfam family "Bacterial small subunit ribosomal RNA", at positions 333 to 631 of the family's 1533-position model. The record is from RNAcentral.